UACGGAAAAUGCGAACGUUAUCCGGAAUUACUGGGUUUAAAGGGUGCGUAGACGGCUUAGUAAGUCAGAAGUGAAAGUUUGCGACUCAACCGUAAAAUUGCUUUUGAUACUGCUAGACUGGAAUUAGGAUGAGGUCAACGGAAUGUGGCAUGUAGCGGUGAAAUGCAUAGAUAUGCCAUAGAACACCAAUUGCGAAGGCAGCUGACUAGACCUGGAUUGACGCUGAGGCACGAAAGCGUAAAGAGCGAACAGG
Molecule: ribosomal RNA, 253 nt
Filed under: uncultured bacterium
Lineage: Bacteria
Description: partial 16S ribosomal RNA
Rfam family: Bacterial small subunit ribosomal RNA
Source: RNAcentral